CCUAGGGUGGGCAGCAGUGAGGAAUAUUGGUCAAUGGGCGCGAGCCUGAACCAGCCAAGCAGCGUGAAGGAUGACUGCCCAACGGGUCGCAAACCUCUUUUAUCAGGGAAUAAAGUGAGGCACUCGUCCGUUCCUGUAUGUACCUUAUGAAAAAGCAUCGGCUAACUCCGUGCCAGCAGCCGCGGUAAUACGGAGGAUGCGAGCGUUUUCCGGAUUUAUUGGGUUUAAAGGGUGCGCAGAUGGGCUCUUAAGUCAGGUGUGAAAAUUUGCGGCUCAACCGCACACGUGCAGUUGAUACUGGGAGUCUUGAGUGCAGUUGAGGUAGGCGGAAUUCGUGGUGUAGCGGUGAAAUGCUUAGAUAUCGCGCAGAACUCCGAUUGCGAAGGCAGCGUGCUGAGCUGCCACUGACGUUGAGGCACGAAAGUGUGGGUAUCGAACAGGAUUAGAUACCCCAGUAGUC
Molecule: ribosomal RNA, 460 nt
Filed under: uncultured bacterium
Lineage: Bacteria
Description: partial 16S ribosomal RNA
Rfam family: Bacterial small subunit ribosomal RNA
Source: RNAcentral